Ruminococcus sp. YE71 is the source of this 72-nucleotide transfer RNA. It matches the Rfam family "tRNA". From Rfam's summary of the family: Transfer RNA (tRNA) molecules are approximately 80 nucleotides in length. Their secondary structure includes four short double-helical elements and three loops (D, anti-codon, and T loops). NCBI's taxonomy places the organism in Bacteria, Bacillati, Bacillota, Clostridia, Eubacteriales, Oscillospiraceae. The record is from Rfam.
GGCCGGUUGGUCAAGCGGUUAAGACUUCGGCCUCUCACGCCGACAACACGAGUUCGAAUCUCGUACCGGUCA